UGGGGAAUAUUGGACAAUGGGCGAAAGCCUGAUCCAGCCAUGCCGCGUGUGUGAAGAAGGUCUUCGGAUUGUAAAGCACUUUAAGUUGGGAGGAAGGGCAGUUACCUAAUACGUGAUUGUUUUGACGUUACCGACAGAAUAAGCACCGGCUAACUCUGUGCCAGCAGCCGCGGUAAUACAGAGGGUGCAAGCGUUAAUCGGAAUUACUGGGCGUAAAGCGCGCGUAGGUGGUUAGUUAAGUUGGAUGUGAAAUCCCCGGGCUCAACCUGGGAACUGCAUUCAAAACUGACUGACUAGAGUAUGGUAGAGGGUGGUGGAAUUUCCUGUGUAGCGGUGAAAUGCGUAGAUAUAGGAAGGAACACUAGUGGCGAAGGCGACCACCUGGACUGAUACUGACACUGAGGUGCGAAAGCGUGGGGAGCAAACAGGAUUAGAUACCCCCGUAGUCCCUGAGCGGGCUGGCAAGGCGCAU
Molecule: ribosomal RNA, 472 nt
Filed under: uncultured bacterium
Lineage: Bacteria
Description: bacterial SSU rRNA
Rfam family: Bacterial small subunit ribosomal RNA
Source: RNAcentral